RNAcentral lists this transfer RNA (72 nucleotides) under Cricetulus griseus (Chinese hamster). It matches the Rfam family "tRNA". From Rfam's summary of the family: Transfer RNA (tRNA) molecules are approximately 80 nucleotides in length. The record is from Rfam by way of RNAcentral. Lineage: Eukaryota; Metazoa; Chordata; Mammalia; Rodentia; Cricetidae.
AGGGGUGUAGCUCAAUGGAAGAGCUCUUGCUUUGCACGCGUGAGGCCCCGGCUUUGAUACCCGGCGUCUCCA